This 254-nucleotide ribosomal RNA is filed under the name uncultured bacterium. RNAcentral's name for it is "partial 16S ribosomal RNA". It matches the Rfam family "Bacterial small subunit ribosomal RNA", at positions 524 to 776 of the family's 1533-position model. The record is from RNAcentral.
UACGGGGGGAGCAAGCGUUGUUCGGAUUUACUGGGCGUAAAGGGCGCGUAGGCGGCCAGCACAAGUCAGUUGUGAAAUCUCCGAGCUUAACUCGGAACGGUCAACUGAUACUGUGCGGCUAGAGUGCAGAAGGGGCAACUGGAAUUCUCGGUGUAGCGGUGAAAUGCGUAGAUAUCGAGAGGAACACCUGCGGCGAAGGCGGGUUGCUGGGCUGACACUGACGCUGAUGUGCGAAAGCUAGGGGAGCGAACAGG